GCGUGGGGCGGGUCCCGUGCUGCUGGAUAUUAAUGAGGCUCAUAAAUAACCGAGGAGCGCGGCGAGAGUGGGCGCUCCCUACGCCGAGGUUUUGAUUCUGCCCUCAACCCUGCUGAGCACUAUGACUAACAUGUCACGUGGUCUGUUCUGUCUCCAGGGUGAGAUCAAAUGAAAGAAACCUGAGAGCUGCUAAUUCCAGUCAGGGAAGAAAAGCCCAGCCUAGCAUGACCAGCAUUCAGACGUGUGUUGCCUAUCUGGACCCAAGAUGAUGGGCAAAGUGGGCAAGGGACUAAAAGGACACAAAGCUGCAAUGCAGAAGGGUUUACACUGCAGCAUCCUCAUACAAGUCAAAGCCAGCAACAAAUACACAAACAGGUAUAAUAGGUCACCCAUCACUGGAGUGCAGGGUAGUGAAACUCAGCAAGGUUCUCUCUCCCAUGACUGUCCAAGUUGCUUGUGAGCAAAUACAAAUGCUGUCUGUCCCUUGUCCCCCAUCCCAUCCACCCCUCUCUCCCCUGCCCCCAAGAGUACCAGACCUAGUGUUCAAAAAAUGAAACUCCUGGGCAGAACUAACCAAAGACCCCACUAGCAGGGAAGCUGCUGUGGCAGUUGAAGUCUGGCUCCAGUGAAGUGGUCAGGCUAUUUUACAUAGAUUUCAUUCAGCAUGCUCUUUUCAUUGACUACCUGUUUCCUUUUUCCAUUCUAUGUCUUACUCUCCGUCAGCCACGGCUCUCCUAUGUUACAUGUUUUUUAACAGCUGAAAAGCAAGGGGUUGGGGUCCCAUAGCAUAGGGUAAAUAACCGUGAUUUGGAAUUUCUGUUAUGAGCAGCAUUGACAUACGUCUCUUGUACUGAAAUAACUAGCCAAAAAGUGCAUAGUGGAUUGUUGUGGACAUUGAUUCCUUUUUUCCCUGCUCUGCAUUACCUUGAUUCCUUGCUUCCUUCCCUGCUGGAGAUGAAAGGUAUGGAACAAAAAAACCUAGGACUGUGGUCAGACUUACUGUUAUGGAGAAGAAUGUGUGAAAACCAGGGAGGAUCUUCAGCUGGCCUCAGGAAGAGAUUUGAUCAGGAAUAUGACUAGCUGUAGAGGAGGAAAACAGUGGAAUUAAUCAUUCUCUAGCUGAGAGGUAAAAGGGAGCAUGUCUGACUACAUUCAGUAUGUGGAGGAUGUGGAAAGGGAGAGGAGGACUUUGCAAAAUAUAACUACUUCAAAGCUAACUACUACCUUUUACACUCAAGUGGACGCUACUAACAGUGUCUCGGCAGGCUCUCACUCCUGACCUCAGACAAUAUACUAACAAAAUGCAGAAGUCCUAGGUGUUUAGCAGGUGCCUUGAAAUGAUGGUGUCUCAUAAUUUUAUCCAAGACAUUCCACCCUAGAGUCAAAGGGCAACAAACUGGGGUGACCCAGGGGCUCCAAGCCAUUUCCCCACGUGUCCUGCUCUGUGUCUUUGUGGCUUUGAGAAGAUUUUCCCCCUAAAGUGACUCUUCACACCUAGCAAAUCUCAGUCUAACUAAUGCCACAACUAGUCCUUGCAGCUCAGUGGGGGAAGGCUCCAUCAACUCUGAUUCUCUCAGGCCUGCAAAAGGACAGAGAUCUGCCAGUUUUGUGAGAAUGGAAUGCCCAUGGUUGUCAGCACCCCCGAAAUCACUCAGCACAAAACAAUCACUAAGGCAUAAAACAGAAUAAGAUUUAUUACAUGGGAUAGGAAGAACACCCAAGGAAAAGGAACUGUUAAACUUGGAGACAAAUAGGCAAAACAAUAGAAAUAUUUCAAUAGAAAUAUCUCUAUAUAUAAUAUUUCUAUUGAUAUAUAUUUCUAUUGAAAUAUAGACAUGUAUCUCAGUAGAAAUAGAACAAUAGAAAUAUUUGCAAAACAAUAGAAAUAUACUUCUGUCUUCUUGCUUGAAGCAGCUUCCAAAUGACUUUUGUCUUGUGUUUGCAUGAGCUAGCAAUCCUGCCAGCUUUUCUCAGCCUCCCUAUCUAGGAUCUCUCUGUCUUCUCUUAGACACCAGGAGAUAUAGAUGUAACUUCUCUAAUUGCUAUUUCCCAUCUUUCAUUUCUUGUUCUAUUGCUCAGGGUACACGUGCUCUCCUUCCCCUAGACAGACAGCUGUGACAAUUUUGUGUGUCCUUUCUGACAUGGAACUGAUAGAUUUUCCUUCUGAAAUGCAUUUGGCUGUUGUUUCAUACAUCCUCUAUUCCAUGUAAAUACUCAAAGAGUUUUGCCGCCUCUAUCUGAUAGGUAUCAGGCCAAAGCCUUUCUCAGGUAUAAAUAACCAUUGUCUAGUGAGAGUUGCUUUUGUCACCUGAGCUGACUAUAACCCUACUGACAAUUUCUUGAUUAGGUCAGAUUACAAAAGUAGAAGGAGAUACAUUCAUAUAAAAUACCAUGAUUCAUAAGAAUGCAAAUGUAGCUCUUUAGCUGUUAUAACAGGCCAAACAUGAGGGUAGCAAACCUAAUUUGAGGAAAUAUCUGUGCUUGUAUAAAUAAUGUUCCCUGAAAUUAAAAACAGCAUAAAUGUGUAACCCAUGACACAAAGCAACGUUAAUAGAAUCCGUUUCUUCAGAAUAAUUGCUUUCUUUUUCUGUUAACAAAGAGCCGCCCCCAAGUUCUGCAUUCUGAUUUUUAUGACAAUUUGGUUUGCAGUGACAGCUAGCCUACAAUAAAGUUUUUUAUUCUUUUGAAAGAUAAUUCCUCUGAUCUUUGCAAUUUCAGUAGAGUCACAGCAGGGAACAAUUUUGCUUCCCCACACAAAAUUGCCUCACUAGCCAUUCAGGAAAACAACCUCCUUGAUAAAGCUAUAAAUAUAUAAAGCACUAUAGCACUGAACCAGUGUCAAGGGUUUAAAUUCAUAAAAUUCAUUGUUGCUCUCCAUCAUCACGAACGUUCUAAAAAACCAGAGCAAGAACAUUUAACUUAGUGCUACACACCUGCUACCAUUGAUGUUCCCAGCCAUAAGUCCUCACUGCUUAACAGUAGGGGCAAGAGGCUUGGUGUGGGCGGUUCAAUCCUUGCUAUUUACUUCACCUUAGCUUCUCCAAAUACUGUGUAAAAUGUAUCAGGCAACUAUGACAACAACAAUGUUGGCCACUGAAAAAUACUUGCAAGGAAGCCAUCUUUAGUUGUCAGCCUCCCAAAGGCUACUCCAACCAGUCCUAUGUUAGUAGAAUUCUACUACAGAUGGAACAACCUGGAUCAUUUUGGUCUGGGGAUAGCUCCAUAACACUGGGCAUGGAAACACGACUCAUGUCUAGGCAGUGGGGAGUGGGAAUACAAUUUGGCUUUUCCCAAUUUUGAAUAGCUGAGAAACUUGAAAGUUGCUUCAUAUGCUUUGCCUAGACACUCCUGACCUCCUGCUGGGUCAGGAAAAGUUUAAUGAGGAGUUCCAGGGAAAUAUUUUUCCUCAUCCUUCUGGUUGUCCUGGAUCUUGAGAACAGCAUGACUGCUGUUCGUAAUGAAGGGAAAGAAUCUCUCUACUGAGAUUAAUUUUUGAGGACAGAGAGAGUUCAGCUUUCCACCCCUUUAUUUGGGUCAGGCUAAAUGACCUUUGCCCUCCCUUGCAAUCCUAAGGUUUUGUCCCACUGAGCUAAAGCUGUUGGCCAGCUCAGAAACUGUGACCCACGUGGGCACUUUAAUUCCCUAUUCAAAUAUACAUCUAGAUAUCUGACUGGUGGCGGGGAGGCCUGUCUUCCAGUUCAGUGUCCCACCCUUGUCUUCUCUAGAAGCUCCCUGAAACACCUUCUUGGGCACCUUUGCAGCUAUUUCAUAUUACAUUUAAGUCAAGAUUGAUGAUGAUGAAAAUGGGGGAAAAGGCAGGAUGGCUAAUAGGAAUUCAUAGAUUUCAUAGACGUUAGGGCUGGAAGGGACCUCGAAGAUCAUCAAGUCCAGCCCUCUACCCCAGGGGCAGGAAGUCAGCUAGGGUCAAAGAAUCCCAGCAAGAUAAACAUCCAAAUGUUUCUUGAAUGAGUCCAGAGUAGGUGCCUCCACCACUUCUGGAGAGAGUCUAUUCCAGGUCUUGGGUGCUUGGACAGUAAAUAAUUUUUUUAUGUCCAGCCUAAACCAGUCUUGGAGGAGUUUAUGACCGUUGGUCCUGUUUUUUCCUUGGGAUGCUCUGGUGAACAGACAUUCUCCCAGAUCCUAAUGUUACACCCCUUAUAUACUUAUAGGCAGCCACCAGGUCCCCCCUGAGCCUGCACUUUUCCAGACUGAAGAGUUCCAUGGCUCUCAGCCUCUCUUCAUAAGGCCUAUUCUUUUGCCCUCUGAUCAUGCACAUGGCUCUCCUCUGGACUCUCUCAAGCUUCUCAACAUCAUUCUUGAAUUGCGGAGCCCAGAAUUGGAUACAGUACUCCAGCUGCAGCCUCACCAAGGUCAAGUACAGCGGGAGGAUGACAUCCUGACAUUUACUUGAGAAGCAUCUAUGGAUGCAAACCAGGGUUUUGUUUGCUUAACCAGCUGGGACAUUGCAUUGGUGACUCAUGUUCAUCUUGUGGUCAAUCAUGACCCCCAAGUCUCUUACAGCAGUGGUGCUAGCAAGUGUAGCACUGCCUAUAAGCAUGCUAUGGGGGGUUUUUUCCCCGAAGUGGAGUACCUUAUGUUUAUUGGUAUUGAAUGUCAUCAGGUUUGUAUCUGCCCACUUACUAAGUUUAUCCAAGUCAGCCUGGAUCACUAACCUGUCCUCAGGCGUGGACGCUAUGCCCCAACAUUUAGUGUCAUCAGCGAACUUAGCCAGCGUACUUCUGACACCAAUGUCCACAUCAUUGAUAAAGAUGUUAAAGAGAACCUGUCCAAGGACAGAGCCUUGGGGGACACCACUGGUCAUGGAGCACCAUAAUGAUUCGCUACCAUCGACCACUACUCUCUGGGUCCGACCUCGGAGUCAAUUUCCCAGCCAUUGGACUGUGGUGUAGCUGAGGCCACAGUUGGCCAAUUUUUCCAUGAGGAGGUCAUGGGACACCAGAUUUUUUAAAGUUCAGAUAUAUGACAUCAAUCUCUUCUCCCUUGUUCAGGUAAUGUGUCACCUACUCAUAGAAGGAAAUGAGAUUGGUCAAGCAACACCUACCUGUGACAAACCCGCGCUGGCUAUCCCUCAGGAUGUUACCCUCAGCUAGCUUAUCCAGAAGGGUCUCCUUGAUAAUUUUCGCCAGAAUCUUACUAGGGAUUGAGGUCAAGCUGAUUGGCCUGUAAUUCCCAGGAUCUACUUUCUGCCCUUUCUUGAAGAUGGGUACCAUGUUGGCCUUCUUCCAGUCUUCAGGUACUUCACCUGAGUGCCACAAGUUUUCGAAUAUUUUUGCCAAUGGUUGAGCUAUGACACCGACCAGCUCCUUGAGUACUGUAGGAUGUAAUCUGUAAGGACCAGCUGACUUGAAGGCGUCCAGCCUCUCAAGGUGAUCCUUUACUAGAUCAACACCGAUGCUGGGUAUACAUGUGCCCUCACCCUGGCCGUCCCUCUUCUUGCUAGGCAGGGCGGUUCCAUUGGACUAAUGAAAGACCGACGCAAAGUACCCAUUAAGCAGACUGGCCUUUUCCUGGGUGUCAGUUAUCAGCUGUCCUGUUUGGUUCAGCAGGAGUCCAGUGUUACCCUUGCCUUUUUUCUGACUCCCUACAUAUCUGAAAAAGGACUUUUUGUUAUCCUUGAUAUGUGAAGCCAGAUGGAACUCAGUUGCAGCCUUGGCUUUCCUGGUCUGCUCCCUGCAGGUAUGGACCAGUGCUGAGUACUCCUCCUUGGUGGUAAUUCCAGCCUUCCAUCCUUUAUAAGUCUCUCUUUUGAGGUGUAGGAGGUCAAGUUCCCUGCUGAGCCCUUUUGCUACCCUUCCUCGAGAUGGGAUGGCCAUCCCUUGUGCUGUCAGGAUCACUCCCUUGAGGAGCAACCACUCCUCUUGGACUCCUCUUUUUGUUGAGUCGUGGUCCCUUAGGGCCUUGACAACGAGCCUCCUGAGCUUGUCAAAGUCAGCUUUCCUGAAGUCGAGGACUUCUGUAUUGCUGACUGACUUACCAUCUUUGCAGUGGAUAGUAAAGGUGAUCAGCUUGUGCUCACUAUCACCCAGUUUUCCAUCGAUUCUUAGGUCACUAACUGUCAUCCCCUUUGGCCGGUACCAGGUCCAGCAACGCUUUACCUCUCAUUGGCCCAUACACUUCUUGAGUCAGGUAGAGCUUAUCCACGCAUGUGAGGAAGUUUUGCGACUGAUUUAGCCGAGCGCUCUUCCCAUGAGAUGUCCGGGUAGUUAAAGUAUCCCAUGACAACCAGGCACCAAGAGUGUGCAGCUUCAGCCAGUUCCCUGGCGAAUUCGUGGUCCAUGAAUUCAAAAUUGCCACCUCCAUGGUGAAAGCUAACAGCAAAGCUAAUGAGCUGAAGUCAGGAGGUCUGGGCAAUCUCCUUUUCAGAUUUCUACAAAAUUUUCUGCAUGCAAAACUCCAGGGCUAGUAGCAGAGGUUCUUGCAAUAUCUAUCAUAUUGGAGGUAGCACAGUAUGAAUGGAGAAUAGCAAACAUAGUAGCCAUAUUUAAAUAAGGGGCGGGAAGGGAGCCGCGCACAAAUGGAGACUAGUGAUAUGCUGCUCGACAGGCUUCCACUCCCAUUCUCCUUAAACAGUACUUUAGCCCAUAAAAUGCAGGAGGCUUAAUGUUGAAGUGAUCUGGGCAACUAUAGCCCCGUUAGUCUGACUUCAAUAGCAUGAAAGACUUUAAACCAAAUCUUUAAGGAAAGAAAAAUUAAAUAUCUUGAGGGAAAUGGAAAAUGGGAUAAAAUGCAAAAUAGGUUUACUAAGGAUAUGUCAUGCCAGAUUAACCUCGUAUUUUUCUUUAACAGCUGUUUUUUAGACAAGGGAAAUGCAGCUGAUUUAAUCUAUCUGGACUCCAGUGAAGCGUUUGGUGUCAUGCUAUGUGAGGAAUUAUAACUUAAGGAGAAGAGGGUGGGGACUAGUGCAAGAACUGCAGGGUAUAUGAGACUCCAGCUGUGAGAGAGACAACAUCAGCAUAUGCUGAAAGGACAAAUCUUGAGCUAGAGGAGGGUUACAAGUGAAGUUGCUCAAGAAUUGGUGUCAGUACUGAUCUUAUUUACUAUUUCUUUUAAAGGUGUUGGGACAGAAGGUAAGUGUGCAUGCCAAAGCGUGCCAGAAAGUGCUAAUGAAAUUUGCUGACCCAACAAUUGGGAGGCAUUGCCAAUGUGAAAAAGGACUAAAACAUCAUGCAGAAAAAAUUGGACAACUGUGGGGACAGGAAUCAAGAAUUUUGUAGUUCUCUUUUAUUGGUCUAACUGUAUGUUUGGUAUAGAUGUAGGCAAACUUGGGUAUCAUCAUACCAUUUUCUCAGGCCUCUGUGCCCCCGUGCGUCCGGCCCCCUGGGCCCCCUGCCACUCCUCGUGUGGCCCUGUGUGCUGCCGCGGGCACUCGUCUCCCCUCCCCUCCCCCCCUCACCCUGCACCACCACUGGCUCCCAGGAACGGGGUGGGGAGGGGAGCUUGCAUGUGGUGGCAGCUGUCAACACCCACUGCCCUGCACUGCUGCUGGUCUGCAUCUGGCUGCAUACAACAUCCCCUGCCCCCCUAGCCUUCCCUCUCUCUCUCCUCCCUCCACACUGCCUCCCCUUCUCUGAUGGCUGUUGGGGCCAGGUGGCGGUGGUGGUGGGAGCAGGGGGCAGGGCGCGGUGGCAGCAGGGGGGACGCUGCCACCAGAAAUGCCCCCAUUCCUUGUCCUGCUCCCCUUUUUUCCUUUUUUUUCUCCACUCUUCCCUGCUGCCUCCCCCUCCCUGCUGGAGGGAGGGUGGGGACGGAGCACCACUACCCACCAUCCCAUGCCGCUGCUGUCUUCCAGGAGCAGGGUGGGGGGGAAGCUUGCCCUAUCGAUCCCACUGCCAGCACCCCAUGUUGCCGCCGCAUCUAGGGGGUGGUCUGCCCCACCCUCCUGGCCCUGCCCCUUGGAGGCGGAGGCACAGGGUGCUGGUGGCACAGCACGGGCCUUGUGCCCGCCCGCCCGCCCCCCCCCCCCCAUCUCCUCCAUCAUGGCAGUGCUCCACUGUGCCAGUCUGGUCUCGCUGUCCCCCUCUGCUUCCACGAAGCAGAGCUGGGGGGGCGGGGACAAAGCCAGCACUGCUGCGCUCUGCUCUGUCCCCUCAGUUCCAGCUGUCGUGGUGGCGUUCUGCUGUGUGUAUCUGUCUGUGCAGAGCACUCUGAUUGGUUGUUUCAGUCAGCAUUGUGAUUGGCUGCUGAGACAACCAGUCAGAGUGCAAAUAAAGUGUUAGGGACAGACAGACAGACUAAGGCUUUUAUUAUAUUAGAAUAUGAUUUAACUUUGAAAAGGGCAAAAUGCAGUCCAAUCAGGUGAGGUGUUUCUGGUAGAGUGAGGGAAGUAUUAGUGCUGCGGUACACAACACUGGUCAGGCGUCAUUUAGACUGCUAGAUACAGUGCCAUUCACCCAUGUUUAUGAAAGAUUAAUUCAAACCAGAACAGGUGCAGGUAAUUUAGGUACCAUAAUAAUCAGGGAAGUGGAGAACCUGUUACAGGGAAGAGGAUACUAGAAAAGUUGGUUUUGUUUAGCCUACCGAAAUAAAGGUUCAGGGGAUGUACAGUUGCUGUCUACGAAUAUACAGGAGGGGAGUACUCUGUUGGGAAAACAGCAGGGUACAUGUUGGACACCCCUGCGAAGUCUGGUGUGUUUCAUGGAGCUACAGAGUAGAGUUAGUGCACCCAGUUUGGUAUCACUUGAUCAAGGUGGUUCUGAAAUUCAGCCUCCUCCUAACAGCAUCUUAAAAUUGACAGAUGCUACUAAUGCUUUUCUGUGCUGAGGAUUAAGCCACAGUUCUGAGUAUGUCCAAAAUGGUCUCUAUUGCUUGACAUUUACCCCAUGGUACCUAAAGCCUUUGAGGUAAACAAAAUUAAAAGUGACAUUCAAAAGAGAAUUGUUGUCUCUAGAUAGAUGCAAGGCUACCACUUGUGAUGAUGCUUCAUAGACACUGACAGAGUAGCCAAAAGGCUUCUAGCUUGCCAGUGUUCAAGCUCAAGGGGAUGUGCAGUAGCCACAGAUUCUGACUUAUACCCAGUUAGUGUCAGUUCAAAUCUGACUGUUGGCAGAAAUUUUGGGGUGAGGAGGCAUUUUGCUACAAUCCAUUUUUUCUUCUUUUUGGAAGGUGGAAUAUAAUUCAAGUACAGCAAAACAUUCAGAAGUUACUUAAAAAUAUGAUAGAAAUGUAGGCCUGGGAAGGCUCCUCCAGAGCUCAUCACUUCCAUCCCCCUCCACUGAGGCAGGAUCAGAUAUACUAAUUUUCCUGCCAAAUGUUUGUCUAACCUAUUCUUAAAGACUUUCAAUGAUGGGGAUUCCAACUAUAAACACAGCAAAGCGCUGGAGCAAGUUGCUCAGGAAGGCUAUGGAAAGUUUCUUCUGAAUAUCCAGUCUAAAUUUUCUUUGCUACAAAUUAAGCCAAUUUUGGUUCUUCCCCAAUGGAUAUAAAAAACAAUUUAUCUUCAGUUUUCUAGAUUAAAUAAAUCCAAUUCCUCUAGCCUGUCCUCAGAGGUCAUGUUUCCCAAAACUCUUGCUUACCUUUGGACUCUUAAGUUUGUCUACAUUUUUGGUGCCUCAAACUGGAUGCAGUAUUCCAGCUGAGAGGCCUCAUCAGGAGAAUGGAAUAAAUACCUCCUAUAUCUUACAGACAACACUCCUGGUAAUUCAUCUGAGGAUGAAGAUUUGUCUUGUCUACAAAGGCAUCAUAUACAUAUAGUCAUACUAAAAUAGGACUGGAAGGGAGCUAGUUCAACCCCUGGUCAAAGUGAAAUCAGUCCGGUCUAAACUGUUCCAGGCAAAUGUUGAUUUAACCUGCAUUAAUAGGCUUCCAAUGACAGCAUUAUAAAUUUCUCCCUAAUACCUAGCCUGUAUCCCUUACUACAACUGAAGCCUGUUACUUUUUGUCCUGUCUUCUGUUGACCCAGAGAACAGUUGGACAGUUGAUCACCAUCCUGUUUAUUAAAAAAAACCCUUUUGUAUUUGAGGACUUAUCAAAUCUUCUUCAAUCUUCUCUUCUUCAGACACAAUUAUCCCUGCUUGUCUAGUCUUUCCUUAUAUGCCAUUUUUUUCUAUGUCUCCAGCCAUUCAUCUUGCUCAUCUGUGGUCCACAUCUUUCUUGAAAUGCAGUGCCCGGAACUGACACUUCCAGGUUGAGUCUUCUAACUACUAUGGAAUCCACAUGCUUGAAAUGUGAUCCUCACUGGAAUGCAACACUGAGCCAGGGAUUCCUAGGAUAGAUCUUUAAAAGAGCUGGUGCUUCUUAAUAUUACUGGAAUCUACUAAGAAGGUCCCAAUCACUCAAUAUGUACCUCAAACUGGAAUCAGUACUCCUGCUUCUGUGGGGAUGCAAUACAGAAGAUGGUAUUCUACAGGGAGUCAGGCCCUACAGAUGACUGAGCCUCCUGCUCAGGAUUUGGAAGUGGAAAGAGGAUGCCUAUCCUGGAUGUCACUUGGCUUCUCCCUUGCUCUGCCAUUUGGGCUAAGAUCUGAAGCCACUUGUCCUUCUUGGUGCAUCCAAACGUGUGUCCAGUAAUGGUGUAAUGUAGGGAGUGUUGAAUUCAUUUGGCCUCACAGGAUGGGUUUGGACAGCAGGGCUUCCUGCCAGUUGGGAGUGGGGGGAGGUGAGUGGCAUUGAUUCCCUGGGUUCCAAAGCCAUCCUGAAACGGCAGCUCCAGCAGCCACUGGGAUUAACACUACCACUGCAGGGACUCUGGCAGCCUCUGCAGUGAGCCCAGUGGGCCAGAUCUGGCCUGUGGAAAUGUGUGAUCCAGCCCAUGAGAAGCCCUGCAGGCUGUUCCACAGAAACAACACUGGCUAAGUUUUACAACCCUUUUCAUUUCCUUUCAAAUCAUGUCCUUACACACCUAACAGCAUGAAUGCAGGUAGUCCUGUUAGCCAUUGCAAUGGACAGAUCUAGAAAUUCAAAAAAGGAGGUGAGGGGGGCUGCAGGAAAUGCAACAGGGUGGCUGAAGCCCUACCCCCACAAGUGGGCUUAUUGUGCUGUGGCAGCAGCUGUCAAAUGAGUCCCCAAAGCUGAUAAGAUGCCCUCCCCAGCUAUCAGUACCUCUUCCUCUCCAGCACCGGCACCUCCUCUCCACCCUUUCCAGAGCAGUUGCCUAGGGUUUGCUUCCUGACAGAGGAAGGUGGGGGGUACUGCUACCACCACUGUCCCCAGCUGAGUAGAAGCAGGGGAAGCCCCAUGGGGUGCUACUACCCUGUUCCACCCAAGGGCUUCUAUGAGCAGCACCAUGGGGUGCUGGGCUUAGAGACAGUGGUAGCAAUUGGGUUCCCCCUUCCAGGCACUCCUGCUCCCUGUCCAAUUCCCCCAGAUAUCCCCUGCUGCCUAAGAGCAGGUGCUAGAAGCAGGGGGACCAGCAGCUGCCAGUGCUCUCGUUGGCCCAGCCCAGCACCCAACACCAACAUAGCCAUACCUUACAGCUGGAAUCCUGGGGAAAACAGGAAGGAGAGGGAGUAGCUACCUGCCUCUAUACCAUUCACACCCUUUUCCCAAAAACCCACCCGCCAAAAUCGGGGUGCAUAUCUUAAAUGGGAAAGCUGAUUUUUCUUUGCUGGAAUUCAAAGAGGAAUAGAAACAUGGAGACACUGCUCCAAGGUAGCUUCCAGCUUCGCUCAGGCAGCAAACAGAGGAGGAAUGUCCAGUGUUAACCCUUUCACAGCUGCUCUCAAAUUGGCAGCAGUUUUUGGCUGAGCAGCCAAACAGCCAAAAAACUAUUGCCAAUUUGCAUGCAGCUGUGAAUGGAUUAACAUGGGACUCUCCCCUGCUUGCUGUCCCAGAAAGAAGCUGGCAGCCAUCUUAAAGCACAGUCCCUCCAUGAAAAAUCUGGAAAAAUCUGCUUUUCCUAUAUGCAUUGUCUUAUUUGGGGGCAUGUAGUAUAUAAGAAAAUACAAUAAUUGCAAUACUUUUCCAUAAGAUCUAUAGUGUCUUUGCUGCUGCUUUUACAUGGAGCUGAGCAAAACUUGAUGGAAUCAUUUGUGUAAUAACUCUGCAAAGCAGUCUGUGCCAUUAUUACCCAGCAGAGCACUGCUUAGAAAAAUAGUAAAGUCACAAAAUCAAGCCCUCAAAAGUAAGAACACAACAGAAUUUAGGAAUUUGAGCCACCUUAAUUCAUACCCUUGUGCUUAUGAUAAUCUUUAAUUAUGUGAUAUCACACUGCUUAUCCACAAGACCAGCACCUCUAUCAGUGCACAGGAUGGAUGAUGCUCUCUCUGUAAGGCAGCUAUUUGACUUUUCCCUUCAUCUUUUUUAAAUGUGGCCCUGGGUCUUCUUUUACAGUAUAUUCUCCUAAAACUGCUAAAUACAGGAUUAGUAAUUUGUUUGUGGGAUGUUCUACAGUGCAAUAACUGAUGGCAUUACAGACUAAUAAAGUCAUCUUUGGAAAACUG
Long non-coding RNA from Alligator mississippiensis (American alligator), 12398 nucleotides. RefSeq lists it as uncharacterized. Lineage: Eukaryota; Metazoa; Chordata; Crocodylia; Alligatoridae. The record is from RefSeq and is a predicted model, not a curated record. The transcript is spliced from 4 exons.